This 64-nucleotide transfer RNA is filed under the name Curculionoidea sp. 15 KM-2017. RNAcentral describes it as "tRNA-Ile". Lineage: Eukaryota; Metazoa; Arthropoda; Insecta; Coleoptera. The record is from RNAcentral.
AAUAGAAUGCCUGAAAAAAGGAUUAUUUUGAUAGAAUAAAUCACGUGAAAUAUCACUUCUAUUG